This 450-nucleotide ribosomal RNA is filed under the name uncultured bacterium. RNAcentral's name for it is "bacterial SSU rRNA". It matches the Rfam family "Bacterial small subunit ribosomal RNA", at positions 354 to 796 of the family's 1533-position model. The record is from RNAcentral.
GUGGGGAAUAUUGGACAAUGGGCGAAAGCCUGAUCCAGCCAUGCCGCGUGUGUGAAGAAGGUCUUCGGAUUGUAAAGCACUUUGAGUUGGGAGGAAGGGCAGUAAGUUAAUACCUUGCUGUUUUGACGUUACCGACAGAAUAAGCACCGGCUAACUUCGUGCCAGCAGCCGCGGUAAUACGAAGGGUGCAAGCGUUAAUCGGAAUUACUGGGCGUAAAGCGCGCGUAGGUGGUUUUGUAAGUUGGAGGUGAAAUCCCCGGGCUCAACCUGGGAACUGCCUCCAAAACUGCAUGACUAGAGUACGGUAGAGGGUAGUGGAAUUUCCUGUGUAGCGGUGAAAUGCGUAGAUAUAGGAAGGAACACCAGUGGCGAAGGCGACUACCUGGACUGAUACUGACACUGAGGUGCGAAAGCGUGGGGAGCAAACAGGAUUAGAAACCCCAGUAGUCC